Sapajus apella (tufted capuchin) is the source of this 539-nucleotide long non-coding RNA. RefSeq lists it as uncharacterized. NCBI's taxonomy places the organism in Eukaryota, Metazoa, Chordata, Mammalia, Primates, Cebidae. The transcript has 3 exons. The record is from RefSeq and is a predicted model, not a curated record.
CAGGGAGGCCACACCGCUUGGCUGUGGUUUUCGCGGAAGCUUGGGAGAUGUCUUUACACUCCGCCUCUUCCUUCUGCAGUCACGGGAAGCAGUUCGAAGCAGAUCAGAAGUCGAACACGUUUGCUUUUGCGAUUCGAGAGCCCUUUCUGGCGCGGAGCUGGGGGCGGCGUUAGGUAGCCGCCCUGGACUGAGAGCGGCGGUGGCCCGAGGCCAGGGCACCUGGCGGCUCCGCGCUCGCUGCGCGCCUGGGGCGGCCGGGCUCUGUCCGAGGUGCUGAACUCCGGGCUCCGGCCGCGCGGGCGCAGAGUGCCGCCGUCCAUUACUGCCGGUGCCUGCGGGCAUCUUCCAGGCCGAGCGAGCGGGUCAGGUGAGACCAGGGCGAGGAUGCAUUGGACAUGCCAACCCUCAUUCACAAAAAUACAUUGUUACGUUUGGUUGAACUGCCCCACACAGCACACUAAUGUUGGGGUGUAACACACAUCCUUCUAACUCAAGCUGCUUUCAGGGGCUAUUCAACUAAAUGAGAUUGCAUUUGCAUU